This 476-nucleotide ribosomal RNA is filed under the name uncultured bacterium. Its description in RNAcentral is "bacterial SSU rRNA". It matches the Rfam family "Bacterial small subunit ribosomal RNA", at positions 791 to 1266 of the family's 1533-position model. The record is from RNAcentral.
UAGUCCACGCCGUAAACGAUGGAUACUAGCUGUCCGCUACCUUGAGUAGUGGGCGGCCCAGCGAAAGUGAUAAGUAUCCCACCUGGGGAGUACGUUCGCAAGAAUGAAACUCAAAGGAAUUGACGGGGGCCCGCACAAGCGGUGGAGCAUGUGGUUUAAUUCGAUGAUACGCGAGGAACCUUACCAGGGCUUAAAUGCAGAAUGACAGGUUUAGAGAUAGACUUUUCUUCGGACAUUUUGCAAGGUGCUGCAUGGUUGUCGUCAGCUCGUGCCGUGAGGUGUCAGGUUAAGUCCUAUAACGAGCGCAACCCCUGCCGUCAGUUGCCAGCAAGUAAAGUUGGGGACUCUGACGGGACUGCCGGUGCAAACCGUGAGGAAGGUGGGGACGACGUCAAAUCAUCACGGGCCCUUACGUCCUGGGGCUACACACGUGCUACAAUGGCCGGUACAGAGAGCAGCCACUCCGCAAGGGGGGA